UCUAGUUCAAGAAAGUUAGCCUGUGAUUUGGUAGUUGUGUAAUGUGUUGUGGUUGCAGUUUUUAGCUCAUGAACUCAACAGUAGAGUAUGUGCUUUAAGAGAUUGUUCAUUCCUCGCAGGCCUGGAUUGCAAAUGUGCUUAGAAGGCUGUGCCUCAUGGGGACUUAGAAAUAUAAGUAACUUAUUUAGUGAGGGGUGGUUAAGGAAAAGUCUUUGUGUUCUUAAUUUAGGCUUUCCCCUCAUGCCAGGGUACUGUUACCACUGUAGUAAAACUUAAUGAUGCAACUCCACACACACUUCAUAGAGGUACUAGCACAUGAUCAACCCCUAUAUUUGCCUUUAGACUUUCAACACUUUCUCAAUAUUAUUCUGUCCAAAUUGGGAUGUUACAGCCUGCAUUGGAGGACAAUAAUAUGGGUAAAAACUUUAGGACUGAGGGUUUGGCAAUGAUGUUGCGUGGUGUAAUGUCACUGGAAAGUGUGUGAUCUUCACAAAGGAUUAGCAGAAUCAAAUAAAUUACAAAACAUUUUUCUCCAGUUCCAGCAUCAUCUGAAAUAAAUAGCUCAAGAAGUUUAUACUUCAGUAUGUGUAUUCACUUCAGGCUCUUGCUGCCUGCAAGUUAAGUGAGGCUUGAAACUUGUUUACUUCCUGGUGAAAGCAUUCCCACUGUGAAAGUGACAAAACACUGUGACUUUCUAACUUUCAGUUUGUCCCUCUAGUGGUGAAAGAAGUUCACCCCAUGAAUCUUUUUUAAAAAAUGAUGCUUAAUAAAGCUUCAGUGCAAGAA
Long non-coding RNA from Neopsephotus bourkii (Bourke's parrot), 786 nucleotides. RefSeq lists it as uncharacterized. Lineage: Eukaryota; Metazoa; Chordata; Aves; Psittaciformes; Psittacidae. The transcript has 2 exons. The record is from RefSeq and is a predicted model, not a curated record.